Molecule: transfer RNA, 100 nt
Filed under: Hypoxylon sp. FL1857
Lineage: Eukaryota; Fungi; Ascomycota; Sordariomycetes; Xylariales; Hypoxylaceae
Description: tRNA-His
Rfam family: tRNA
About the family: Transfer RNA (tRNA) molecules are approximately 80 nucleotides in length.
Source: RNAcentral
GGUGCCAUCGUCUAGUGGCAGGACAGUACGUUGUGGUUUGAGAGCCCCCGCGCUUCAGACGAUAUCCGUGCAAACGGCGGUUCGAUCCCGUCUGGCGCCA